AGUGAACGCUGGCGGUAGGCCUAACACAUGCAAGUCGAACGGCAGCACAGUACGGGUUUGCUCUUACGGGAGGCGUGUGGGGGGGGGGUGAAGUGUCUAUCGGACUCUACUUUUUCGUGGGGGAACUAGUAGGGAAACUAACGCAUAUCCCGUAACCGCCCUACGGGUAAAAGCAGGGGCUUUUCGGCCCUUGCGAGAUUGUAUGCGCCGAUGUCGGUGUCGCUUGUUGGUGGGGACAAGGCCCACCAAGGAGAUGAUCACUAGCUGGUGUGAGAGGAUGAGCAGCCACACUGGAACUGAGACACGGUCCAGACUCCUACGGGAGGCAGCAGUGGGGAAUAUUGCACAAUGGGCGCAAGCCUGAUGCAGCCAUGCCGCGUGUAUGAAGAAGGCCUUCGGGUUGUAAAGUACUUUAAGCGGUGAGGAAGGGAGUAAAGUUAAUACCUUUGCUCAUUGACGUUACCCGCAGAAGAAGCACCGGCUAACUCCGUG
RNAcentral lists this ribosomal RNA (492 nucleotides) under uncultured bacterium. RNAcentral describes it as "partial 16S ribosomal RNA". It matches the Rfam family "Bacterial small subunit ribosomal RNA", at positions 29 to 507 of the family's 1533-position model. The record is from RNAcentral.